RNAcentral lists this long non-coding RNA (2458 nucleotides) under Equus caballus (horse). RNAcentral describes it as "lncRNA (ENSECAG00000054829.1)". The record is from RNAcentral. Lineage: Eukaryota; Metazoa; Chordata; Mammalia; Perissodactyla; Equidae.
UCUAUGGAUUGUCAAAGCUAAAGCCAGGCAUUAGUUAAAGCCGUGAGAACAGGUUUUAUUCCGUCACUACUGAUGACAGUAGGGAAAGAGCUGAGUUCCGUCCGGAUGUGUGCAGAGGUGACGGCGUCUUGGGAGAAUGAGGGAGGGGGAGGGGUGAGCCGGGGGCUUGGUGAAGAAUCAUGAAGGUGGGUCCGAGUGGAGGGGAUUAGGUCAGCUGUGUCUGCCAGCUGGCAAUGAUCAAAGACAGGAUUCCAUCCUCCACAGAGACUGGGAGCCAGAGGCCCCAUCCUUCCUGAUGGUUCCAUUUCAAAGGGUGGCUUUCAGGUCCUUGAGAAAGACACUCCCGGGUUGUAGGAGAUACACACACAUCUCAAAGGGACAGAGAAAGGACUCGCAAUGAUAAGCCUUUCUUAGUAAAUGCUCUAAGAAAGGGAGGUCAGGGGCCUGUCAUCAGGUGUUGGCUAGAACAAAUAGUAAAUUCUUUGGGCAGCACUGAGCUUUCUCAGGCAGGCAUUUUAACGGAAGGCUGGGGUCAUCCUCGGGAGACAUGCUUAUGCUGCUAGAAGCCAUGCUAGAGUUUCCUUUUCUCUUAGUGCAGGAGUUCGGAUGGAGUCAUUAUGUUGCGAAAGUUCUGCGGAUGCGCCUUUAUUUAUUUAAUAAUUUCUCUGUGGUUUCCAUCACUUCUUCAGUAUGGAGAGUAAAGCUCUAGUGAGCAGUCUCGGGCUUAUAGCCACCAUUCUCUUGUGCAGGUGUUACUGGUGGCUAAAUUUGUUGAAGCAGGUUUGCAGUGUCAAAGGUAUGACAUUUUAAAUAUGUAAUAUUUUAAACAUGACCCCAUUGCCCUUCCAAAGAGUCGUGCAACUUUGCAUAUCCAUCGACAGUAAAGGAAAAUGGUAUUUCCUCCCACACUCCCCGCUGUGAUCUGAAUUUCUUUCUGAGGUCGGUGGUGACAGGCUCAUCCCACCAGGGCUGCUAGCUUUCAGUGGGCCAGCCCCUUCCCCUCCCGGAGCCUGUGUUUUCUCAAUGUGAAACAGGCUAGGCUAAUUAUCAUUACAGCAGGUGCCAUCUGCUGCGCUCCCUCUGCCUGGUUUAAGUGAUCGUUUCUUUAAUCCUCCCCAACACUUACAAGGGACGGAUCAUUAUCUCCACUCACAGAUGAGAGCACGGAGAGAGGAUGGAGCUGGAACUGCAGCUCCAGCCUGUCUGGCUUCGAGAAGCUUUUCUCCCUAGAACCCACCUUCCCGAGGCUGCCACGGAUGUGGGUCCUCCCAGCAUUUGGGGCUUGCGCUGUGACAGCUCCGUUGAGCAUUAUGGAUGCCUCAACAAUCCCUCUGCACCUCCGCACCUUGCGUCCGCUGCCCACCGUGAUGCUGAGAGUCCUUUCUCCGCAGUCAACUGCAACCUCGUGUGCCCAGCCCAGCGGCCACGUGCUCAUUCUGCUGGCUGCUCACCUGCUCCCUCUCUCGGUUUUGAAAUACUUGCUUCUUCUGGCUUCUGUGAUGCCACAGUCCUCUGUUUUCCUCCUCCCUCAUGGGCCACGUACUCCCCUCACCCAAAUUCCUCAGAUGUUGACGUUGUAUCACGAUUGCUCCCUCAUCCUCUUCUAGAUUUAGGUAUAUAUCAUCUUGUUUUGAUAUGAUGCCCCCAAACCUCUAAAUUCAAUGAGUGUGCCUCCACAAAACAGGGACCCUCUCCCACUGCACCCUCACAUGAACUUCCCAUCAAGAGAUCAAAACUUGAUAAUAACAAGUGAGCCAAACUCAGACCCCGCUCACAUUUCACCAGCCAGCUCACAAGUCUCUUCCUUUUGGUCUAAGCUCUCUCCAGGAACACGCGUUGCAGUUAGUUGUCUGUUCCACCAGUUUCCCCUGGUCUGGAACAGUUCCCCAGCUUCUCCCUGCCUCUAGUGUCCCCUCCAUUCUUACAGAAUUUGAGCCUUUGUUCUCUAGGUUGACCCUAAACCUGGGUCCAGUCGAGGGUUCCUCAUGACCAGAUCCUGCCUCGCAUUCUUGGUAAGAAGACCACAGAACUGAUGUGUGUUCCUCUCCAUGCGUCACACCAGGAGGUGCCUGAUGUCCUCCUGGCCACUGCUGGUCACGAAACAUCCAUGACCUGCUCAAGGUGGCGCCUGCUGAGUCACCAUCUCCCGUUUCAUAUUUGACUAGCAUCUCGGGGAGCGAUACUCCACUGUUAUACCAUAUCCUGUUCCUCACCAAACGUCCACCCACAGCCUUAGCAUCCAUCCGUGGUUCCCGCCUCUAUCGAUGACCUCUGUGAUAGCUGCCAUACUGCAAUCACCUAUUUCCACCACUCCUCCCACAUUUAUUAAUUGGCAUUCUACUGUAAAGAAGAGCUUUCCUUCCUCCCCGUAUAGGUUUUUCAUUUAUUGAUUGAUUUUGUUAGUAUGGACUCAUGAAUCUUAUUUUAUUCAGUGAGUUGUAAUCUGAUAGUCUCAUUA